GCUUGUCUCAAAGAUAAGCCAUGCAUGUCUAAGUAUAAGUAUUUUAUACCAAACUGCAGACGGCUCAUUAAAACAGUUAUGGUUUAUUUGAUGGUUUGUUUAUUACUUGGAUAACCGUAGUAAUUCUAGAGCUAAUACAUGCGUAAGGGGUAACUUCACGAAACUCUGCAUUUGUUAGAUUAAACCCAGCCACUUUUAGUGCAUCUGGUGAAUCAUGACAAAAUAUCGGAUCGCCGAUUUCAGUUAGCGACAUGUCAUUCAAAUUUCUGCCCUAUCAUGCUCAAGAUGGUAGGAUCUGGGCCUACCAUGGCGGUGACGGGUGACGGAGAAUUAGGGUUCGAUUCCGGAGAGGGAGCCUGAGAAACGGCUACCACUUCUAAGGAAGGCAGCAGGCGCGCAAAUUACCCAUUCCUGAUUCAGGGAGGUAGUGACAAGAAAUAACAAUAGUUUGGCCUCGUGCUAAACUAAUUGGAAUGAAUACAAUUUAAACAUUUAGAUGAGGAACGAUUGGAGGGCAAGUCUGGUGCCAGCAGCCGCGGUAAUUCCAGCUCCAAUAGCAUAUACUAAAGUUGUUGCAGUUAAAAAGCUCGUAGUUGGAUUUCUGUGUGAUAGGGACGGGAAGGCGCCUUGUAGCGUUUUUUCUGACUUCUCGCGCAUCUUGCCACAAACCAUGGUACUCUUAAUUGAAGUGUCGUUGGGGAUUGGCUCGUUUACUUUGAAAAAAUAGAGUGUUUAAAGCAAGGUUUUCCUCUAAAUAAGUUAGCAUGGAAUAAUGAUAAAGGACUUUGGUUCUAUUUGUUGGUGUUCGGGAUUGAAGUAAUGAUUGAUAGGGAUAGUUGGGGGCAUUAGUAUUCAAAAGCGAGAGGUGAAAUUCUUAGACCUUUUGAAGACUAGCUGCUGCGAAAGCGUUUGCCAAGGAUAUUCCCUUUGAUCAAGAACGAAAGUUUGGGGAUCGAAGACGAUCAGAUACCGUCGUAGUCUAAACUAUAAACUAUACCAACUAGGGAUUGGCCGGUGUUAUGAAAAAAAGGGCCCGGUCGGCACCUUAUGAGAAAUUAAAGUAUUUGGGUUCCGGGGGGAGUAUGGUCGCAAGGCUGAAACUUAAAGGAAUUGACGGAAGGGCACCACCAGGCGUGGAGCCUGUGGCUUAAUUUGACUCAACACGGGAAAACUUACCAGGUCCAGACAUAAUAAGGAUUGACAGAUUGAGAGCUCUUUCUUGAUUCUAUGGGUGGUGGUGCAUGGCCGUUCUUAGUUGGUGGAGUGAUUUGUCUGGUUAAUUCCGUUAACGAACGAGACCCCAGCCUGCUAAAUAGACAUCGUAUGUUUUUGCAUGCGGUGAUUGCUUCUUAGAGGGACUAUAGACUUCGCUAUACAGACUAGGGAAGUUUGGGGCAAUAACAGGUCUGUGAUGCCCUUAGAUGUUCUGGGCUGCACACGGGCUACACUGACGCGUGCAAAAAGCAUAUCAGCUGGUCCGAAAGGAUUGGGCUAAUCUUCAAACUCGCGUCGUGCUAGGGAUUGACUAUUGUAAUUGUAGUCAUGCAACGAGGAAUGCCUUGUAAGUGCGAAUCAUCAAAUCGCAUUGAAUACGUCCCUGCCCU
RNAcentral lists this ribosomal RNA (1604 nucleotides) under uncultured eukaryote. Its description in RNAcentral is "SSU rRNA". It matches the Rfam family "Eukaryotic small subunit ribosomal RNA", at positions 30 to 1659 of the family's 1831-position model. The record is from RNAcentral.